GUGAGUAACACGUGAGUAACCUGCCCCUGACUCUGGGAUAAGCGUUGGAAACGACGUCUAAUACUGGAUAUGACUACUGGUCGCAUGGCCUGGUGGUGGAAAGAUUUUUUGGUUGGGGAUGGACUCGCGGCCUAUCAGCUUGUUGGUGAGGUAAUGGCUCACCAAGGCGACGACGGGUAGCCGGCCUGAGAGGGUGACCGGCCACACUGGGACUGAGACACGGCCCAGACUCCUACGGGAGGCAGCAGUGGGGAAUAUUGCACAAUGGGCGAAAGCCUGAUGCAGCAACGCCGCGUGAGGGAUGACGGCCUUCGGGUUGUAAACCUCUUUUAGUAGGGAAGAAGCGAAAGUGACGGUACCUGCAGAAAAAGCACCGGCUAACUACGUGCCAGCAGCCGCGGUAAUACGUAGGGUGCAAGCGUUGUCCGGAAUUAUUGGGCGUAAAGAGCUCGUAGGCGGUUUGUCGCGUCUGCUGUGAAAUCCCGAGGCUCAACCUCGGGCUUGCAGUGGGUACGGGCAGACUAGAGUGCGGUAGGGGAGAUUGGAAUUCCUGGUGUAGCGGUGGAAUGCGCAGAUAUCAGGAGGAACACCGAUGGCGAAGGCAGAUCUCUGGGCCGUAACUGACGCUGAGGAGCGAAAGCGUGGGGAGCGAACAGGAUUAGAUACCCUGGUAGUCCACGCCGUAAACGUUGGGCGCUAGAUGUAGGGACCUUUCCACGGUUUCUGUGUCGUAGCUAACGCA
Molecule: ribosomal RNA, 742 nt
Filed under: Curtobacterium sp.
Lineage: Bacteria; Bacillati; Actinomycetota; Actinomycetes; Micrococcales; Microbacteriaceae
Description: bacterial SSU rRNA
Rfam family: Bacterial small subunit ribosomal RNA
Source: RNAcentral